This 448-nucleotide ribosomal RNA is filed under the name uncultured bacterium. RNAcentral describes it as "partial 16S ribosomal RNA". It matches the Rfam family "Bacterial small subunit ribosomal RNA", at positions 328 to 793 of the family's 1533-position model. The record is from RNAcentral.
UGCCCAGACUCCUACGGGAGGCAGCAGUGGGGAAUAUUGCACAAUGGGGGGAACCCUGAUGCAGCGACGCCGCGUGGGUGAAGAAGUCAUUCGUGACGUAAAGCCCUAUCAGCAGGGAAGAAAAUGACGGUACCUGACUAAGAAGCCCCGGCUAACUACGUGCCAGCAGCCGCGGUAAUACGUAGGGGGCAAGCGUUAUCCGGAUUUACUGGGUGUAAAGGGAGCGUAGACGGCGGCGCAAGUCCGGAGUGAAAGCCCACGGCCCGACCGUGGGACUGCUCUGGAAACUGUGCGGCUUGAGUGCGGGAGGGGCAGGCGGAAUUCCUAGUGUAGCGGUGAAAUGCGUAGAUAUUAGGAGGAACACCAGUGGCGAAGGCGACUUUCUGGACUGUACCUGACGCUGAGGCGCGAAAGCGUGGGUAGCGAACGGGAUUAGAUACCCGCGUAA